RNAcentral lists this ribosomal RNA (433 nucleotides) under uncultured bacterium. RNAcentral describes it as "partial 16S ribosomal RNA". It matches the Rfam family "Bacterial small subunit ribosomal RNA", at positions 29 to 507 of the family's 1533-position model. The record is from RNAcentral.
AACGAACGCUGGCGGCAGGCCUAACACAUGCAAGUCGAGCGGACCUUUCGGGGUCAGCGGCGGACGGGUGAGUAACGCGUGGGAAUAUGCCCUUCUCUACGGAAUAGUCCUGGGAAACUGGGGGUAAUACCGUAUACGCCCUUUGGGGGAAAGAUUUAUCGGGGAAGGAUUAGCCCGCGUUGGAUUAGGUAGUUGGUGGGGUAAUGGCCUACCAAGCCGACGAUCCAUAGCUGGUUUGAGAGGAUGAUCAGCCACACUGGGACUGAGACACGGCCCAGACUCCUACGCGAGGCAGCAGUGGGGAAUCUUAGACAAUGGCGGCAACCCUGAUCGAGCCAUGCCGCGUGAGUGAUGAAGGCCUUAGGGUUGUAAAGCUCUUUCAGCUGGGAAGAUAAUGACGGUACCAGCAGAAGAAGCCCCGGCUAACUCCGUG